GGUUUAAGAGGGUGUUAAUGUUGCAUCCCGGCAUAUUCUACGUGUCGAGUAAGAUUGGCACACAUACUGUGGUAUUAAAGGAGGGUUAUAAAAGGGGAAUGUUGAUUCAGAAGAGCCCGCUGAUGGAAAUGAGAUAUAAGUUUGUUCAUCUCAUGAACAAGAUGACCGAGGAUAAAAAACAAAAAGGCAUACAGCAAAAAGGUAGUCAUGAUCAGAAUGAAGGUGAUGAAAAGGAACCUCACGAUGAUAUGGAAGAAGAAGAAGAAGAAGAUGAGGAUGAUGAGGACUCUGAGGAUGUGUAUAAUGACUACAAUUAUGAUGAAAUGGACAAUGUGUUGAUGGAAAUGAGGUAUAAGUUUGUUCAUCUCAUGAACAAGGUGACUGAGGAUAAAAAACAAAAAGAUAUACAGCAAAAAGGUAGUCAUGAUCAGAAUGAAGGUGAUGAAAAGGAACCUCACGAUGAUGUGGAAGAAGAAGAAGAUGAUGAGGAUGAUGAGGACUCUGAUGAUGUGUAUAAUGACUACAAUGAUGAUGAGAUGGACAAUGAGGGUAGAGAUGUGAAGCGUAACCGGAGGUUGAACUCGAGGACAAGAGUUGAUGAUCAGAAAC
RNAcentral lists this long non-coding RNA (609 nucleotides) under Nicotiana benthamiana. Its description in RNAcentral is "long non-coding RNA (NBEN_LNC019225)". The record is from RNAcentral. Lineage: Eukaryota; Viridiplantae; Streptophyta; Magnoliopsida; Solanales; Solanaceae.